Molecule: long non-coding RNA, 152 nt
Organism: Juglans microcarpa x Juglans regia
Lineage: Eukaryota; Viridiplantae; Streptophyta; Magnoliopsida; Fagales; Juglandaceae
Exons: 3
Source: RefSeq, a predicted model, not a curated record
AAAAUAUUUAAUAAGACCUGUUAAGGUUUAGUGCAUGGUUUUGGACGGUAUUAAUGGGCCAAUAUUUUUGGGAAUCCCAAUUGAGAUUUAUUGGAUAAUUUUGAAUAGGCCACGGGCCAAAAUUUUAUUAUGAUGGAAUAAUGAUUUUUAUU